CUAAUACAUGCAAGUCGAGCGCGGGAAGCAAACUGAAUCCUUCGGGAGGACGUUUGUGGAACGAGCGGCGGACGGGUGAGUAACACGUGGGCAACCUGCCUGUAAGACUGGGAUAACUCCGGGAAACCGGGGCUAAUACCGGAUGAUCCUUCGUACCGCAUGGUACGGAGUUGAAAGAUGGUUUACGCUAUCACUUACAGAUGGGCCCGCGGCGCAUUAGCUAGUUGGUGGGGUAAUGGCUCACCAAGGCGACGAUGCGUAGCCGACCUGAGAGGGUGAUCGGCCACACUGGGACUGAGACACGGCCCAGACUCCUACGGGAGGCAGCAGUAGGGAAUCUUCCGCAAUGGACGCAAGUCUGACGGAGCAACGCCGCGUGAGUGAUGAAGGUUUUCGGAUCGUAAAGCUCUGUCUUCAGGGACGAUAAUGACGGUACCUGAGGAGGAAGCCACGGCUAACUACGUGCCAGCAGCCGCGGUAAUACGUAGGUGGCGAGCGUUGUCCGGAUUUACUGGGCGUAAAGGGAGCGUAGGCGGACUUUUAAGUGAGAUGUGAAAUACUCGGGCUCAACCCGGGGGCUGCAUUUCAAACUAAAAGUCUAGAGUGCAGGAGAGGAGAGUGGAAUUCCUAGUGUAGCGGUGAAAUGCGUAGAGAUUAGGAAGAACACCAGUGGCGAAGGCGG
This 682-nucleotide ribosomal RNA is filed under the name uncultured bacterium. RNAcentral's name for it is "bacterial SSU rRNA". It matches the Rfam family "Bacterial small subunit ribosomal RNA", at positions 48 to 724 of the family's 1533-position model. The record is from RNAcentral.